GAAGACGUUCUUUGGCGGAGACGGAUUGGCGGCAGCGAGAAAGCAGUGCAGGUGUGCGAGUUACUUUCAGGCUUUGAAAAACCUGGCAAUGAAUUAUUCUGGCUGAGUUCUGUCGCUUAUCAAGCAAAAAUCUGAGUUGCAAUCAGAGUUCUUCAAAGAUCUCGACAAAUACACUCCUCGCUUCCUGGAGAAGUUCAAAACCCAGAGGGGGAAAGUGUCGGACAGAAACUUGAAUAUCUGCAACAAGUCACACCUGGGAUGUGACUGGGAGGUGAACAGUAGUCCUCCGUGGCUCUCCCGUCAACCUUGUAGAUGACAAUGCAGACUUCUUCAAGAAUUUGAGGUUCAGGAGCAGCCAAUAUGAUGCAGGUGUGACGGCUGAAGAUGGCAGGUACCUGUUCAGCCUCCUGUGGUAGGAGCACAUUUCCCAGAAGCAGCAGUGACAAAGAAAUGUGGAUGUUUACCACGAAUAUGGUUGGUUGCCCACGUAUUAAACUUUGGUCUUUCUUUAUUGAAGGUGUGAGUUUAGGAUGGCGUGAAGCUUCGACUUGACCCCAUGGAAACACAGCAGAAGCCACGAACGGGUCCUGAUCGGGGACUCUGAUGACCUUCUGGACGUGUCCCACACCUCCAUUGGGACCCUGACGGUGCUGAAGACAUCGUGGCCUCCUCACUCGCUGGACCUGGAGUCUGCAACUACUGCCAUCGUUUUGGGAGGAACAGUCGUGAUGGGUGACCGUGAUAAUCUUCCCUGUGCCGUGUGGCUACUCUUCAGACUUAUUUACCCCUGAAUUUGGAGUAUCCUCAACGAGUGAGGAACACCUUCUGAAUUUAUUCAUAGAGUGCUUCUCACUUGGACCAAAAACCCUAAAAUACAAUCACUCAAAAAUCUACUGAUGCCAUAAAAGACUGUGUUCAUGAUGUGCAGUCAGGCCCGAGAACUUCACCCUUCUAUCUCCAAUUGAACUCUUUUCUAGAACAUGUCUGUUUUUGUUGUUUUCCUGUCGUGAAAUUUAGCAAAUGCCGAAAACGCUGUGUCCAUCAUAUUUCUGCGUUACAAAACCUAAUCUGGCAACAUGUUCAGCGUUUUAAGCACGUUUGAGUUUUAAAACAUGUGUUUUUCUUCUAAAUAAACGUUGUCUUCCAUUGUAA
Long non-coding RNA from Pseudoliparis swirei, 1152 nucleotides. RefSeq lists it as uncharacterized. Lineage: Eukaryota; Metazoa; Chordata; Actinopteri; Perciformes; Liparidae. The record is from RefSeq and is a predicted model, not a curated record. The transcript has 6 exons.